RNAcentral lists this ribosomal RNA (469 nucleotides) under uncultured Acidobacteriota bacterium. RNAcentral's name for it is "bacterial SSU rRNA". It matches the Rfam family "Bacterial small subunit ribosomal RNA", at positions 10 to 525 of the family's 1533-position model. Lineage: Bacteria; Pseudomonadati; Acidobacteriota. The record is from RNAcentral.
AGUUUGAUCCUGGCUCAGAACGAACGCUGGCGGCAGGCUUAACACAUGCAAGUCGAACGCCGUAGCAAUACGGAGUGGCAGACGGGUGAGUAACACGUGGGAACAUGCCCUUCGGUUCGGAAUAACUCAGGGAAACUUGAGCUAAUACCGGAUACGUCCGUAAGGAGAAAGAUUUAUUGCCGAAGGAUUGGCCCGCGUCUGAUUAGCUAGUUGGUGGGGUAAUGGCUCACCAAGGCGACGAUCAGUAGCUGGUCUGAGAGGAUGAUCAGCCACAUUGGGUCUGAGACACGGCCCAAACUCCUACGGGAGGCAGCAGUGGGGAAUAUUGGACAAUGGGCGCAAGCCUGAUCCAGCCAUGCCGCGUGAGUGAUGAAGGCCCUAGGGUUGUAAAGCUCUUUUACCCGGGAAGAUAAUGACGGUACCGGGAGAAUAAGCCCCGGCUAACUUCGUGCCAGCAGCCGCGGUAAUA